GGGCCCGCACAAGCGGUGGAGUAUGUGGUUUAAUUCGAUGCAACGCGAAGAACCUUACCAGGGUUUGACAUCCUGCGAAUCUCUUGGAAACAGGAGAGUGCCUUCGGGAACGCAGUGACAGGUGGUGCAUGGCUGUCGUCAGCUCGUGUCGUGAGAUGUUGGGUUAAGUCCCGCAACGAGCGCAACCCUUAUUUUUAGUUGCCUUAUGGAACUCUAGAAAGACUGCCGGUUAUAAACCGGAGGAAGGCGGGGAUGACGUCAAGUCAGCAUGCCCCUUACACCCUGGGCUACACACGUACUACAAUGCUACGGACAAAGGGCAGCAAGUUCGCGAGGACAAGCAAAUCCCAUAAACCGUGGCUCAGUUCAGAUCGUAGGCUGCAACUCGCCUACGUGAAGGAGGAAUCGCUAGUAAUCG
Molecule: ribosomal RNA, 418 nt
Filed under: uncultured bacterium
Lineage: Bacteria
Description: bacterial SSU rRNA
Rfam family: Bacterial small subunit ribosomal RNA
Source: RNAcentral